This 156-nucleotide long non-coding RNA is filed under the name Canis lupus dingo (dingo). RNAcentral's name for it is "lncRNA (ENSCAFG00020020197.1)". The record is from RNAcentral. Lineage: Eukaryota; Metazoa; Chordata; Mammalia; Carnivora; Canidae.
CCGCUGAUGUGCUGUCUCUCUUCUUCGGUUUUCUUCAGGGGGAACCGGCAGCCCGACCGCAAGUGCCAGAGGAGGGACCCCAGGAGGUUCCGAGGGCUUGACAGCAGCACCCGGCAGUGAGAGCACACGUGGAGACUCCGGCGCCCCAGGCACGAC